CUCUACUCAAUCUCUCUAAUAUCUAAACAAGACUAGAUCUAGAAGAACUAGUCUCUUCUAAUUGGUACAUCUAGAUGAACUAGAACUAGUUCAACUAGAGGGACCCUAACCCUAAUUAUGUAGAGAAUAUGAAGCACUGGGGUAUAGAAUGCCUCUUAGGGGGAGCCUUGGGCGUCAUUAUAUAGGCCGAGGUGGAGUAGGGGUCAAGGAAUCGCCACGUCAGCGAUCGGCGUCUUCACCUUGUGUGCACCGUUAGAUCAAACCGACUUAAAAUCGACGAAGAGAUACUUUGCUUGGCUUCCAAGGAGGCGUAGGAGGAAGACUCCAGAAGGCGGUGACCAUCGGGCUAAAUAGGGCGCCGACCAGCCCCAAGGUGGAGCCGGCCGGCCCCACCUUGUUUCCUCUGCGGGUCUCGUUCCUCCAGGUGUCUUCUAGACCCUUCCUGAGUCUUCUCGUGAUGUUUUCCGUCGCGGAUGAGUGUCGUGGUAAAUAUGCACUAGAAUCCCUCUUUUCAACUUUUCUAAAAUUCACCCUAGAAAAUACAGAAUAUGCAAAACUCGUGGAAAUUGUCAGAUAAAACUCUAGAAUAGUGUGUUUUCAUGUGUUCCCUUGUGUCUAAAGUUCUAAUAAAUAUUGACGUUAUCGACCGUCAACAAUACCCCCAAGCUUACCUUUUGUCAGUCCCUUGGCGAACUACCCAAGCCUAAUUAUUAAUAUAUUUGCAUCAGGAGUUGCUACAAUACUUUUAUUUCUUUUAAGUACACUUGCUUUUAAACAUAAAUUUUUCUCUGGUCUAACUUCCAAACUUACCCACUUUACCUUUAACCAUGGAACUUUACAACUUUUGCAUAAAUCUUGAGUAAUCGAAAGAUAGAACAAUCAAGUCAAACACUAUGUCUCCAAUUCUUUACAGUACUAAUAUUCCAGAGUUUUGUAAGUUUUCAAAAUAAAGCUCAGAGCAUAAUUGUAUGACACCCUCAAGUCUCUUAUUAUAUAGUAUUUAUGGAUCUCGCUGAGGCAUUAAAGAGGUUAUGCCUUCCUACAACUAAGGAUAUAUAGUGGAGCUUAUAGGAGUGGCAAUAACAAGGAUGAGCAUACUUGUAAUUCAUAUAUUGUAAAGUCAAACAAUGGAUCCAUAGAGAAUCGAGGCAUACAAUCAAACUAAGAUGUGUAUGUGUAUGGAAUAGGUGUAUAUAGAGUAUUUAGUGGCUAAUCCUAAUUCUACUUUUGCUCUUUGAAAAUAACUCCCUCCUUUAGAACUUUUUGCAGGAAAACCAUGGGCUAUUUUAUUCUUUCUUUAUUUCUUAUUUUUUCCUUUCUCUUCUCUCUUUUUUAAUCUAAGAGGCGGGCAUCUAUGUACCCAUUGUUUUAAUUGUUGGACACUUGUCCAUCUUUUACUCUCCCUUUUUUUCUUUUUAAAUAUUUUUGCAUAGCCACAUGCAUCCUUUGAAUAUAAAUCAUUAGAGAGAUAAUGAUAAGAACUUAGAGCAAUUAAAUGGGAGCUGUCCUAUAGGGUAUUUUUUUGUUGUUGUUUACUCCCACUGUUGGAGAAAACAUUUUUUAAGGUGGAUCUAGGUGAAAGUGGAAAAUAAUUGCGCUUACUCCCAGAGUAGGAGCAAUGCAAAUGUAGGUGUAGUGCGUAAGUGAUCUUGAUUUUAAAAGCAUGACAAGACUCUCAUAAGGUAUACAACAAAGGUUGACUAAACUCAAUGCAAAGUAAGCAGCAUUAAUGCGCAAAGGUUUUCAUAACUCUAAAUGUAUCAUAUAUGGCUUUGGUAGGAAUUUAAACUUUAUCAUACAAGAGCUCAUCAUGUAAGAUUUUGUUUUUUUUUGAAAAUAAAUCUCCAGAACUUAGUAAUGCUAGGAAUAAGAUAAAUAGCAGCUUAGAACUUCAUGUAUAAUAUCAAUUACCUAGACUCAGCUUAAACAUAUGCCUCCACAAAUUUUAGGUUCAGAGUAAAUUCUUAUAUUAAAGUGGUCAUGUCUAAAACUUAGGAGAAUUCAUGGUUGAAAACUAGGCACUUGAAAGAAAUUACUGUAGAGCAACUAUUCAUCAUCUCCAAGACAAAAUUUUAUUAUUCUCUAAUUUUUAUUUGACUCUAAACUACACUAUAUGAUCACACCUUAAUAUAUAGAUACAUAUUUUGUUUGGUUGUUAUUCAUUUCUAUUGGACUCAGAAGACUCUAAAGAUAUGGACGUUCAUGUACCCAUAUAUUUUUGGUAUUUUUAAUUCUCCCUUAUAUUUUCUUAUGAUACUAUUCUGAACCUUCAUGUGCUCACAUAUUUUUGAUAUUUUAUGACUAUAUAAAAUAGACUCGAUAAUCGCCUAGGUAUAGUUACCUGAUAACUAGGGGAUACCUCCAAGCUAGAUGUUUGCAAUAGUUGGUGUUGAUGAUCUUCAGAGUGAGCUUACCGGCAGCGCUCUAGGUGGGUGCCACUAAUAGACUCUCUCCUUGUCAUAAUGUUGUUUCUGCAUAAUUACUCUAAAAAGAAAACCAAAACUCGAGGCUUGAAUUUGUUAAUAGGUUAGCGGUCAGCCAAAGAGUAAUUGAUCACCUUUAAGAGCUAGCUUUAAUGUUGUCUAAUUUAAACAGGAUUUCAAUUUUCUCUUAUUUUUGAUUUUUCUAUUUAUGAUGCAGGAAUUUAAAUGCUAUAUUUUUGUUAUUUUUAUUUUAUGCCACCACAGCGGAUAUUCCUUUGAAAAAUACCAUAGGGUAUCCCCAUGGAGUUUGUGAUGCCAUAAGUAAUGCAGUACAUAUUUUUAUUGUUUUUAUAUCUUUUAGUGUGUAAACAAAAUUAUGCUACUAAAUAAAUUACAAAUGCAUUUAAAGAGAUAACUACCAUUCUAACCUUAUGGCUAGGGUACGGUGUUUUUAGUCCUUCGAACUGGGCUUCUUCUUUCACUUUUGUGUAUCUCUCCAUCUUUAGAGAUGGAGGUCUUGUUAGUUGCAUACCUUUAGUGAUAAUGAUGUCACCUUUGUUCUUUGAUUUGGCCAGUAGGUUGAAUGAGAGUUUAAAUAGUAGCUGGCAGCAUCUUGCUCAGUGUGCAUGUUCACAGAACUUUUACUUGUAGAAUUAAUAAACUUUGCUUGAUAUAUUAUCUUGUUUGCAAAACUAAGGUAGAGAUCAAGUGCAUGGACUCUGCUAGUGGAAAAACACCAACAUAACCAAAUCUAUUUCUUUAUUUAAUUUUCUCCAUCCUUAGGCACAUUAAACAAGAUAAAGUUGGGUUACAUGAUUUAUUUAUUUAUGAGUGGUAAGAUCAAAAGAUCAAGCAUUUAAUGUUGCAUUUAAGUUCACAUGACAGAAA
Molecule: long non-coding RNA, 3311 nt
Filed under: Sorghum bicolor (sorghum)
Lineage: Eukaryota; Viridiplantae; Streptophyta; Magnoliopsida; Poales; Poaceae
Description: long non-coding RNA (SBIC_LNC001420)
Source: RNAcentral